GAUGAAGAACGCAGCGAAAUGCGAUACGUAAUGUGAAUUGCAGAAUUCAGUGAAUCAUCGAAUCUUUGAACGCAUAUUGCGCUCUCUGGUAUUCCGGAGAGCAUGCUUGUUUGAGUAUCAGUAAACACCUCAACUCCCUUUUCUUUUUUGAAAUGGGAGCUGGACUUGAGUGAUCCCAACACUUUUCUCACUGGAAAGUGGCGGGUCACUUGAAAUGCAGGUGCAGCUGGACUUUUCUCUGAGCUAUAAGCAUAUCUAUUUAGUCUGCCUAAAAAACAGAUUAUUACUUUUGCUGCAGCUAACAUAAAGGAGAUGAGUUCUUGUGCUGACUGAUGCAGGAUUCACAGAGACAGCUUUGCGGCUGACUUUGUAAACUCGAUCUCAAAUCAAGUAAGACUACCCGCUGAACUUAAGCAUAUCAAUAAGCGGAGGA
This 433-nucleotide unclassified non-coding RNA is filed under the name soil metagenome. Its description in RNAcentral is "partial contains 5.8S ribosomal RNA, internal transcribed spacer 2, and large subunit ribosomal RNA". The stretch from base 1 to 120 matches the Rfam family "5.8S ribosomal RNA", at positions 35 to 154 of the family's 154-position model. The record is from RNAcentral.